AUGGCUGUUUUUGGAAAAUCCCGUAUCCCGUAUCCCCGUAUCCGUAUCCCCGUCUUUCCGUCCCCGUGUCCGUGCUUUUUAGGUCCUAGCUAUGCGGAGCUUUUGGAACAAGUGAGGAACGAUUUGAAUUGGAUGGACCCAAGUGACGUUGUUGAGUUAGAGGGAAGGCAUAAUGUUGGUUUUGGAAUGCACAUCCGUUGGAAGACAAUGCGUGUGAACUCCGAGCAACGUUGGGUUGCAUACAAGGAGAUGGUUGCCGAAUCUCUAGACAAGGCUCUUGAGUUAUUUGCCUCCAAGAAGGUUGAGUCUACUUUGAAUUUAGACUUGAACCGGAACCCCUCCCCGUUGGUUGCUAGCACUCCCCCACCCACGAACCAAGAUCAAAUGAGUGAACCUCAUUUCAUGCAACAAGAUUGGCCAACAUUGAGCCCGACUCCAAACAACCAAAAUGAAGGUUUUGAAGAGGAGAAUGAUGAGUACGAAGAGGAUGACAACGAAGUUGAUCUCCAUGACAACAAUGUGGGUGAUCUCUACAAAUAUCAUGUGCAAGAGACAAUGGACCAAUCCAUCCCUUUUUCCCGUGCAUAUGCAUCGGACUCGGAUGACGAUGGUCCCGAUGAAGAAGUUGAUGAGGAGGGGUUCAUGCCCAAGGAGGCCCAAGCAUUCAAGAAGGUAUUCGGGCGGGAUCACAAGACACCAUUGUUCAAGGAUCUUAGUCUCACGGAUGAAGCCGUUGUGGAUGGUGGCAAAUGCAUAUCUCUUGGAGCUAGGCCAAGUUCUCACCGUGAUUUGGAAGACGGCAAGAACGGGAUAUAUCCCGGUUGUGAGUUUCAAUCCUUCUUGGAAUUGAAGAUAUGGCUCGAUAACUACUCGGUUACACAUUAUCGUCCACAUAAGUGUCCAACUCAGACGUGA
This 915-nucleotide ribosomal RNA is filed under the name Triticum aestivum (bread wheat). RNAcentral's name for it is "partial small subunit ribosomal RNA". Lineage: Eukaryota; Viridiplantae; Streptophyta; Magnoliopsida; Poales; Poaceae. The record is from RNAcentral.